This 3517-nucleotide long non-coding RNA is filed under the name Sus scrofa (pig). Its description in RNAcentral is "lncRNA (ENSSSCG00015047332.1)". The record is from RNAcentral. Lineage: Eukaryota; Metazoa; Chordata; Mammalia; Artiodactyla; Suidae.
GGAUAAAAGGAAAGAUAGCUUUUUUGAGGAAGCCUGCAAUCUGGGGAGUAGGUGGACUCUAAGUCCCAAAAAACAAUUCCCCAAUCCCCAGAUUUCACUCAGGGAUUAUAUAGGAAAAGAAGAAAGAGGUACACAAAUGCUAAGGAGGGGUAAACUUCUAUCUUCAGAGGUGAUUGUCUCCAUGACACAGUUCCAAGCAGCUGUCUUGUCUCUGUUGUGAUUGAAACAUUAAUGAGCUGUUAAUCUCUGGUCAGCUACUAGUUAUUCUGGUUUCAACUAGUCUGGGGUCUCCGUGCUUGUGGUCAGCACUACAGUUGACUUCUUUCACCUGGUGGGGGUUUCAGUAUCUGCAAAACACUCAAAGAAUAUGGCUGAAAAUAUUAUCUAUAGCCUUUGCGGAGAAACAAAGGUCCUUGACUUUGUUUAAUGGUUAAAUUUAUCUUGCUUGACUGUUUUCCUUUGCUUCUGCAUUUUCUCACUUUUCUAAUUAAAUUCAUCCUUUGGAAUCAGGGAGGGGCCAGGAGGCGAAAGUUUUUCUGUAAAUAAGAAGCACAGGUGGAUGAAAUGGAGUGGAGGGGUCUGUCCAAGGAAGGCUCCAUAGGGUCCUGCUUCCUUACACCAUUACGAAUCUCUUAUACUUGGUCACCUGCUAACUGCUCUUUGAAAAACUUAUGUUUGUUUCCCAUAAAGUUGAUGCAAAUAUUUAAUAUAUUUCAGUGUAAGUGUCUUCAAGAGACAAUUUAAACCAUUAACAUGCUAGAUUGUAAUAUUUUUCUCAAGGAGUAACUUCCCCUAGCCUCCUGACUAGUUUAGAUUUCAAAUACUAAAGCUUAAUUUCCACUUUUAUUAUCACAAAGGAUGAAUAAUGAGUGACUAUGAUUAUCUGACUUUAUCUAUUGCUGUAGCUUAAGACAGAUGAAUUUUGAAAUUUUUGUCAUUUAGCUGUAUGUCAUGGAACAUGCUUUUUUGAUAUUUAAAAUUCAUUUCUAAGGUUAACAAUUAGUACAAACAUAUUCCAGCCUGUUACUAUGUCUGUUUAGACCUCUUUAGCCAUGGAGAUCUUUAUAUGCUUCCCACUUCAAUCCUUUUCUUUCUUUUUUUUCCAACAGUAAAACAUGCACUCACUCACUUGCAUUCAAUUACCAUUGUAAUGAAAUAAUCCUCAGAGUUCCCUACCUGUGUGCGACUAAAGCAUAAGGAAAUUAUUAUUGUCCUGGCUCCUUUUUUUUUCAUGAUGUGGUCCCUUCUUGAUCAUGCCUAUGUUCCUUUAGUUUUUACUUUCAAUGUAGAAUCUGUGUAUUUGUCAGUCAAAUUAUACAAUGAGUUACUGUAGGGCUCUGAAAGUAUCCAUUUAAUAGGGAAAAUUAGUGCAAUGUAUAAAACUUUACAAAAAUUUAGUUUGCUGCUUUUUUUUUGACACCAUAGUUGAUUUGCUUUACAACAUAGGUUGAAGUUGAAAUUUUGCAUUUCUGAUUCCUUUUCCCUCCUCUUUCACUGAGAUAUAAUUGACCUAUAACAGUGCAUUGGUUGGUGGUGUACAACCAUUAUGAUUUUAUAUACGUAUAUAUUGCAAAAUGAUUACAACAAUGACUGCAGUCAACAUCCCUCACCUCACAUAGUUAUAAUUUUUUCUUUUGAUUAGAAUUUUUUAGACCUACUCUCUUAGCAACUUUAAAAUACACGAUAGAAUAUUGGCUUUUUAAAUUAUUUUUAAUCAUUUUUAUUGAAGUAUAAUUAACAUAGCAUUACAGUAGUUUUCUGUACAGAACGUAAUAAUUUGGCAUUUGUGUAUAUUGCAAAAUAAUCACCAUAGUCGGGUCCAUCCAUCCAUAUACAUAAACAUUUUUUUUCUUAUGAUGAGGAUUUUAGUAUUAUUAACUACAAUCAUUAUGCUAUACAGUACACCCCCAGAACCUAUUUAGCUUAUAAAUGGAAGGUCCGUACCUUUUGGCCACCUUUACCCAUUUCACUCAACUCUCUAUCUCUAGCAAUCACCAAUCUAUUCCAUCUUUUGAUUUCUUAAAAUUCUACAUUAAGUGAGAUACUGCAGUAUUUGUCUUUGGUAUUUUCACUUAGCAUAUAAUGUCCUUGAGUCCAUUUGUCUCAACUUGCAAGACUUUAUUUUUAAUGACUGAAUUAUUCCACAUUUUCUUUAUUUAUCUACCAAUUGAUAUGUAGAUUGUUUCCAUGUCUUGGCUAUUGUACACAGUGCUGCAGUGAACAUGGGAGUGGACGUGUGUUAAAUUAGAAACCUGACCCUCAAGCCCCAUCUUUUAAGAUAUGCAAAUAAGCCUCUUUCAGGGAACCUUUAGGAAGUUGUGUGCUUUCUCUUCUGAGCCCUGAUGAGUGUGGUUGGGCGCGGGGAGAUACUGCUGGUGGUACUCGGUUAACUAUUUCUGUGGGAUGCAUGAACACAAACCCUGCUGGCCUCCAGACGCAGGUGAGGGAUAUGUCUCCUGCAUUAUAGCCGCAAAAGCCAGAGCACUGUGUAUGUGCACAAGCUCUUUCCAGGGAGAUGCCAGUAGCCUGGGGUGGGCCAGGAAGAGAGUACAAAGAUGACACCAGCCAGUCUCCCAAGUCUCUGGAGAGGAUUGCAGCUAACCUCUAGAUGUGUGUUAAAUUGGAAGUUCAGCCCUCAGCUGUAGCUUUUAAGAGAUGCAAAUGGGCCUUUUACAGGGAAAUGCUGGGUAUUUCAGUCUGCCAUCUCUGCUGCCUGGGGAGCGCCACAGUAAGUCUCUUGGAGCAACGGGCUGUUGCGGUUUUUGUUUUGGUUUUUUCUAAUUUACAGUAGUACUGUGGGUCUCCUGGGUGCACGGCCUGUUGGCUUUGAGAGUAUUUGGGGGCUUGCUUUUCUCUCAGGUGGAAGACUUAAAAGUUGCAGUGCUAGAUGUGGGGUCCAGUACACUCCUCGUGGAGAAGCUGGUAGUUGUGAGUUCCCUUUUAAUUGCAUGUUGUUUCCUGGGUAGGAUUUAUGGUGAGAUUGUGUCUCAGUCUAUCCUACCCCAUUUGAUGUGUGUUUUUUCCUGGUUAGCUAGAUGUGCAGUGUCUGAAUUUCUCUCACAGAAAUUGUUCCCUCCUUAGCUACAGAUUUAGUGUGCCUGUGAAAGUAGGUGAGUUUAGGAGCCUCCUAUGUUGCCGUCUUGAAUGGGAGCCCUUCCUGUAUUUCUGAUUCUAUCCCUGUAAAUGGUUAAUAGGACAAGAUCUUGAUUAUUGAGAUAAAAGGUUGCAGUGCCUAAUCAGGUAGUUCGAAAAGUCUGUUAAAACUUUCCCUCUGUUUGGGAAAAGCAUCUUAGGAACUUGUUUGGAAAAUUUCAAAAUUCAUGAACCAUUCUAUCUACUGAUCCUGGACUUAAGCUGCAACAGCCCCCAGCUAACCUAGCUCCUUUCAGACUGGCCCCCACAAUCUUGAAUUGGUUCUUUCCAAUCCUGUUACUGUUGGUCCUGAAGUCAGUGGUUUUUGUAAACAGACAAGACUGCUUGGUGUGUCUUGUCUGAGGUCACAUGGAGAUUAUGUCAG